GCACAAGCGGUGGAGCAUGUGGUUUAAUUCGAAGCAACGCGCAGAACCUUACCAGCCUUUGACAUCCUAGGACGACUUCUGGAGACAGAUUUCUUCCCUUCGGGGACCUAGUGACAGGUGCUGCAUGGCUGUCGUCAGCUCGUGUCGUGAGCUGUUGGGUUAAGUCCCGCAACGAGCGCAACCCUCGUCCUUAGUUGCCAUCAUUAAGUUGGGCACUUUAAGGAAACUGCCGGUGAUAAGCCGGAGGAAGGUGGGGAUGACGUCAAGUCCUCAUGGCCCUUACAGGCUGGGCUACACACGUGCUACAAUGGCAUCUACAGUGGGCAGCUAUUCCGCAAGGAUGCGCUAAUCUCCAAAAGAUGUCUCAGUUCGGAUUGUCCUCUGCAACUCGAGGGCAUGAAGGCGGAAUCGCUAGUAAUCGCGGAUCAGCAUGCCGCGGUGAAUACGUUCCCAGGCCUU
Molecule: ribosomal RNA, 459 nt
Filed under: uncultured Porphyrobacter sp.
Lineage: Bacteria; Pseudomonadati; Pseudomonadota; Alphaproteobacteria; Sphingomonadales; Erythrobacteraceae
Description: bacterial SSU rRNA
Rfam family: Bacterial small subunit ribosomal RNA
Source: RNAcentral